UGAGGAAUAUUGGUCAAUGGGCGAGAGCCUGAACCAGCCAAGUCGCGUGAAGGACGACGGUUCUAUGGAUUGUAAACUUCUUUUGUAGAGGAAUAAUGGCAGCUACGUGUAGCUGAGAUGCAUGUACUCUACGAAUAAGUAUCGGCUAACUCCGUGCCAGCAGCCGCGGUAAUACGGAGGAUACGAGCGUUAUCCGGAAUUAUUGGGUUUAAAGGGUGCGUAGGUGGCGUAUUAAGUCAGUGGUGAAAAGCUGCAGCUCAACUGUAGUCUUGCCGUUGAAACUGAUAUGCUAGAGAGGAGACGAGGUAUGCGGAAUGUGUGGUGUAGCGGUGAAAUGCAUAGAUAUCACACAGAACGCCGAUUGCGAAGGCAGCGUACCAGGCUCCGUCUGACACUGAAGCACGAAAGCGUGGGGAUCAAACAGGAUUAGAUACCCUGGUAGUCCACGCAGUAAACGAUGAAUACUAGAUUUUUGCGAUAUAGUGUAAGAGUCUAAGCGAAAGCGAUAAGUAUUCCACCUGGGGAGUACGCCGGCAACGGUG
Molecule: ribosomal RNA, 542 nt
Filed under: uncultured bacterium
Lineage: Bacteria
Description: bacterial SSU rRNA
Rfam family: Bacterial small subunit ribosomal RNA
Source: RNAcentral